This 497-nucleotide ribosomal RNA is filed under the name uncultured bacterium. Its description in RNAcentral is "partial 16S ribosomal RNA". It matches the Rfam family "Bacterial small subunit ribosomal RNA", at positions 28 to 507 of the family's 1533-position model. The record is from RNAcentral.
GAUGAACGCUGGCGGCGUGCCUAAUACAUGCAAGUCGAGCGAACGGACGAGAAGCUUGCUUCUCUGAUGUUAGCGGCGGACGGGUGAGUAACACGUGGAUCACCUACCUAUAAGACUGGGAUAACUUCGGGAAACCGGAGCUAAUACCGGAUAAUAUUUUGAACCGCAUGGUUCAAAAGUGAAAGACGGUCUUGCUGUCACUUAUAGAUGGAUCCGCGCUGCAUUAGCUAGUUGGUAAGGUAACGGCUUACCAAGGCAACGAUGCAUAGCCGACCUGAGAGGGUGAUCGGCCGCACUGGAACUUAGACGCGGACCAGACUCCUACGGGAGGCAGCAGUAGGGAAUCUUCCGCAAUGGGCGAAAGCCUGACGGAGCAGCGCCGCGUGAGUGAUGACGGUCCUCGGUUCGUGAAACUCUGUUAUUAGGGAAGAACAUAUUUGUAAGUAGCUGUGCACAUCGUGACGGUACCUGAACAGAAAGCCACGGCUAACUACGUG